CCUGGUGUAGCGGUGAAAUGCGCAGAUAUCAGGAGGAACACCGGUGGCGAAGGCGGAUCUCUGGGCCGAUACUGACGCUGAGGAGCGAAAGCAUGGGGAGCGAACAGGAUUAGAUACCCUGGUAGUCCAUGCCGUAAACGUUGGGCACUAGGUGUGGGCGACAUUCCACGUUGUCCGUGCCGCAGCUAACGCAUUAAGUGCCCCGCCUGGGGAGUACGGCCGCAAGGCUAAAACUCAAAGGAAUUGACGGGGGCCCGCACAAGCGGCGGAGCAUGUGGCUUAAUUCGACGCAACGCGAAGAACCUUACCAAGGCUUGACAUACACCAGAAAGCUGCGGAGACACGGCCCCCCUUGUGGCUGGUGUACAGGUGGUGCAUGGCUGUCGUCAGCUCGUGUCGUUAGAUGUUGGGUUAAGUCCCGCAACGAGCGCAACCCUUGUCUCGUGUUGCCAGCAGGCCCUUGUGGUGCUGGGGACUCGCGGGAGACUGCCGGGGUCAACUCGGAGGAAGGUGGGGACGACGUCAAGUCAUCAUGCCCCUUAUGUC
This 546-nucleotide ribosomal RNA is filed under the name uncultured streptomycete. RNAcentral describes it as "bacterial SSU rRNA". It matches the Rfam family "Bacterial small subunit ribosomal RNA", at positions 669 to 1208 of the family's 1533-position model. The record is from RNAcentral. Lineage: Bacteria; Bacillati; Actinomycetota; Actinomycetes; Kitasatosporales.